UGCCACAAAAAUCACUGGCUUACUUUGGAC
This 30-nucleotide non-coding RNA is filed under the name Mus musculus (house mouse). The record is from RNAcentral. Lineage: Eukaryota; Metazoa; Chordata; Mammalia; Rodentia; Muridae.